RNAcentral lists this long non-coding RNA (582 nucleotides) under Rattus norvegicus (Norway rat). Its description in RNAcentral is "long non-coding RNA NONRATT005452". Lineage: Eukaryota; Metazoa; Chordata; Mammalia; Rodentia; Muridae. The record is from RNAcentral.
GCAGGCUGCACUUGUGGUUUGUUGACAGGGACGCUUGGGAACAACCCCUCUGCAGAGAAGAGUUCCUGGGGCCAGGUGUGAUGGUACACACCUGUGAUCACAGCUUUCAGGCUGCGAGGAGGAGAUCAUAAUCCUGAGUCACAUUAGAGAGACCCUGCUGCAAAGACAAAGCAAGCCGGGCGUGGUACUGCUCACCGCUCACCGCUCACCGCUCACCGCUCACCGCUCACCGCUCACCGCUCACCGCUCACCGCUCACCGCUCACCGCUCACCUCUCACCUCUCACCUCUCACCUCUCACCUCUCACCUAUGGCCCUGGCCCUGUACGGGGAGGCAGAGGAGUUAGUACAAAAUCAGUAAGUCAGGGGCUGGAGAGACAGCUCGGUGGUUCAGGGUUCUUGCUGCACUUGCAGAGGACCUGAGCUUUGUAGCAUUCACAAUGGGCCGCUCACGUCUGCUUUUAAUUCCAGCCCCAGAGGAAUCCAACGCCCUCCUCACAGACACUGUGUUUACAUAUAAAAGCUACACGCCCAUACCCAUGCACAGGCAUAAAUAAUUAAAAAAUAAAGCUAAGCAUGGUGG